CUGCGCAUCUGUUGUGUGUGUGCGUCUGUCUGUCUGUUCAGGUCUGUUUCAGACUACGUCUGCCUGUCUGUCCAGGUCUGUUUUAGGCUGUGUCUGCCUGUCUCUCUGUCUGGGUCUCUUUCAGGCUGCGUCGGUCUGUCUGUCUGGGUCUGUUUCAGGCUGUGUCUGUCUGUCUGUUUGUCUGGGUCUGUUUCAGGCUGUGUCUGUCUGUCCGGGUCUGUUUCAGGCUGUAUGUGUGUCUGCUCUUUGCUUCUGCUCCUGGCUCUGUGUGUAUUUCCCGGGUCCUGUGG
This 290-nucleotide long non-coding RNA is filed under the name Homo sapiens (human). RNAcentral describes it as "HSALNT0395725". Lineage: Eukaryota; Metazoa; Chordata; Mammalia; Primates; Hominidae. The record is from RNAcentral.